AGCGAACGCUGGCGGCAGGCCUAACACAUGCAAGUCGAACGCCCCUUCGGGGGAGUGGCGGACGGGUGAGUAACGCGUGGGAAUGUGCCCUUUGGUACGGAACAACUGAGGGAAACUUCAGCUAAUACCGUACGUGCCCCUGUCCUUAACGGGAUGGGUGGGAAAGAUUUAUCGCCAUAGGAGCAGCCCGCGUUGGAUUAGGUAGUUGGUGGGGUAAAGGCCUACCAAGCCUACGAUCCAUAGCUGGUCNGAGAGGAUGAUCAGCCACACUGGGACUGAGACACGGCCCAGACUCCUACGGGAGGCAGCAGUGGGGAAUCUUGCGCAAUGGGCGAAAGCCUGACGCAGCCAUGCCGCGUGUAUGAUGAAGGUCUUAGGAUUGUAAAAUACUUUCACC
This 397-nucleotide ribosomal RNA is filed under the name uncultured bacterium. RNAcentral describes it as "bacterial SSU rRNA". It matches the Rfam family "Bacterial small subunit ribosomal RNA", at positions 29 to 440 of the family's 1533-position model. The record is from RNAcentral.